UUAAUUUGUUUUUAAAUAUUUUCUUGGCUGGGCACGGUGGCUCAUGCCUGUAACUCAGCACUUUGGGAGGCCGAGGUGGGUGGAUCUCCUGAGGUCAGGAGUUCGAGGCCAGCCUGGCCAACAAGGUGAAACCCCGUCUCUACUAAAAACACAAAAAUUAGCUGGGCGUGGUGGCUGGCGCUUGUAAUUCCAGCUACUUGAGAGGCUGAGGCGAGAGAAUCGCUUGAACCUGGGAGGCGGAGGUUACAGUGAGCCGAGAUCAUGCCACUGCACUCCAGGCUGGAGACAAAAAAAAAAAAAUUUUCCUGACUUUCACCUCUGUUUUUCAGAGGGCACAAAUUGUUCUUGUAUUGUUUCUAUUUUACAUUUUUUUCCUGAAGUUAUUUUCCAAUUGUUUUCAUUCUUUCUGAAGUUAUGUUCGCUCAGUUUUGAGUUUUUGUAAUUUUGAUAGAUUUCUUUCGUGCUUUCAUUUUCUUAAUGACUUUUACCUCAUUUUUAAAACAAAUCCAUAAUAUGGCCUUGAAUCCUUAGCCACCAGCUGUGUGCCCUUCAGGGUUCUGUGGUUCCUGGUUCCAGAGAGAUCACGUGCUCCAGUGUAACGAGUGAAGAGUUCUUUAAGUGAUGGCUGCUGGGCCCAGCUUUGCUGUUGUCUUUGCUGUCUGGUAAAAAGAGAAAAGAAAGACAUUCUUGAUUUUGGUGACUAGAGUUGUAGAUGCUGGAAAGGUUUGCCACUAAAAUUGAUGAACCAGAUGCACGUCACCAGCCAAUCACGCUGAUUCUUAAUGCCGGCACCGUGGCCUGGCACUGUCACGUUUUCCAAGGAACCUGCUGAAGCUCCUGCAGAAGCUGCUCCUCGGGCCAAUGCAGCCCCUUAGCUGGCAGUCCCUUCUGUAGUCACCACAGGAUGCCUGCCAUUCGUGAAGAGGAAGGAGAGGACGGGCUUUGAAUGAAAAACAGAUUUGUUCUGUGGCCUAAAAUGUGGUCUAUCCUGGAGAAUGGUUUGUGAGCUGAUGAGAAGAACCAUGUUCUGCAGUUGACUUAAAGCCUAUUUUGUGUGACAAGCAUAGCAGUGGUGACACCUUUCAUUUAUCAUCUUCACUGAAUCUCACUUCCUCCCAUUUACCAAAAUGUCUACUUUUGAGCCACGGCACCUCUUUGAAUCUUCAGAUCCACCAUAUGGUGAUGAAGCCUUCCUUGUUAUCUGUACUCUGAAGGAAUCCGAAACAGGCAUUUUUACAAGUCUAGGAAGGAAACAAAUCUGUAUGUCAGAAGAAUGAACAUAGAAAAUAAUGUGUCCUGGUUAACAAAAGUUCUCGUUGUAAAGUGUUACGCACAAGAUUAUGAAGUUUUAUGUGCCAUAAAUGAAGUUGUCUUGAUCCAAAACUACAUUUUGUCUAAAACUACUUUUAAAAAUUACAUGUGACUCUAAUAAAGUUAUUUGUAAGAG
This is a long non-coding RNA of Symphalangus syndactylus (siamang), 1447 nucleotides long. RefSeq lists it as uncharacterized. Lineage: Eukaryota; Metazoa; Chordata; Mammalia; Primates; Hylobatidae. The record is from RefSeq and is a predicted model, not a curated record.